UACGGAGGGUGCGAGCGAUAUUCGGAAUUAUUGGGCGUAAAGCGCGUGUAGGCGGUUGAUUAAGUCUGAUGUGAAAGCCCUGGGCUUAACUUGGGAAGUGCAUUGGAAACUGGUCAGCUGGAGUACGGGGGAGGGAAGUGGGAUUCCGAGUGUAGGGGUGAAAUCCGUAGAUAUUCGGAAGAACACCGGUGGCGAAGGCGGCUUCCUGGACCGAUACUGACGCUGAGACGCGAAUGCGUGGGGAGCAAAC
RNAcentral lists this ribosomal RNA (250 nucleotides) under uncultured prokaryote. RNAcentral's name for it is "partial 16S ribosomal RNA". It matches the Rfam family "Bacterial small subunit ribosomal RNA", at positions 524 to 773 of the family's 1533-position model. The record is from RNAcentral.